GACGUAACCAUCUGAUCAAUAGGAUCAAUAUGUUAUUCCAGCAGUUGUGUUCCUGUAGGUGUUGGCAGCUCAGGCACAGAGACGAGCGACUCUGAUUGCAAUCAUCCGUGAUCUAAGGCAGCAACUUCAGCGCAUAGGGUUCAUUACGCACCGGUUUCACUGACUGCAUUUAACGUGCAGCCGAGAAGCUGACGGAAGGUGAGCUGCAUGAUGGCAUGCUGAUCGCCGAUCAGAAGAAGGAGGUGGAAGAUUGAGGAGCUGAUUUUUAUUUUGUUUUUUGUUAAAAGGUUUCUUUAAACAACCAACACCUGCCUGACUGUACGAGUUAUUUACACGAACCAGCCGCAGGAACGUCUUGCUAUUAGGGAUGUGAAA
Molecule: long non-coding RNA, 375 nt
Organism: Ictalurus punctatus (channel catfish)
Lineage: Eukaryota; Metazoa; Chordata; Actinopteri; Siluriformes; Ictaluridae
Exons: 3
Source: RefSeq, a predicted model, not a curated record